This is a long non-coding RNA of Aethalodelphis obliquidens (Pacific white-sided dolphin), 2443 nucleotides long. RefSeq lists it as uncharacterized. The transcript is spliced from 3 exons. NCBI's taxonomy places the organism in Eukaryota, Metazoa, Chordata, Mammalia, Artiodactyla, Delphinidae. The record is from RefSeq and is a predicted model, not a curated record.
ACAGGGAUCGUCCUGACUCUGCCAAUCCUGGGUCUCCCUUCUGCUUUGGCCUUCAGCCCUGAUGGUGGCGGCCAGCUCCCCAAGGGGUGGCGGCUUCUGCCUCAACAGGACCGGCCUCGGGGCAGCUGCCGGGCCCAGGGAGCAGCUCUGCCAGCGCCCGGCAGGCCAGGAGCAGAUGCUGAAAGUCCACAGCCACCCAGAGGCAGGGGUUAAGACCCCAGAGUCGAGAAUCAGGGUUUGGGUCCUAGCUGUUCUGCUGCCCAGGUACACGAUCAUGGGCACAUUCCUCAACCUCCCGACCUUCACCUGAAAAAUGAAGAUUGUAAAUUUUCCAGGUAAGCUACUUAACGUUAUGUGUGCCUGGCUCCCAGGGUGUGUUCAAAACAUGCUUGUUGUUCUGGUUACGAUUAUAAAGAGAGAGGAAAUUCACCGAUCACACCCCUUUAUCUGGCCUCUCAAAGCUCAGUGCUAAUGGACUGGAAACUGAACUGUGAACCACUCACUUCCAACCCAGGAAUUCUUCCACUUUCUCACCUAUUUGCCAUUAGAGAUUUUUUUUCUUUCUUUUCAAGCACCCAGAGACACUGAGAGUUUCUCCUGACGGUCUGAUUUAGGUAAAUUGCAAGGGUGGCCUGUGAAACUUCUGGCAGAAGCCCUGGCAGAUAAAGCUCCACUCCUGAGGCCGUGGAAGAAAAGACCAAAUGCCUCUCACAAGUAGGGUCCCGGCGACCUCAAGAGACGGCCCAGCACACCACCUUCACUCCUGUCCUUGUUCCACAGUUAGGUUGCAACCUGCCUCUCCUCACCUCCCCCAGCCCCGCCUGAACGGACCUGGUCCACCUACCCGCAACUGACCCCCACUCACCGCCCCCCCCCCCCGGUCACGCUGCUUUUCUUUCUUUCCCUCAAAUGCCCCAAGGAUUCCACCCCAGGGCCUUUGAACUUGCUGUGCCUGCCGGCAGAUGCACUCUCCCCGGGAUCUGUGCAAGGCUGGCUCCCUUUCAUCCCUCAGGUCUGUCCUCAGAAGUCACCUCCUCAGAGGUUAUGCCACCACACUUCAUUUGCAAGUCAAGCAGCCUGUUUUCUUGUCUUCACAACGCCUCUCUGUACUUUGAAUUGUCUUAUUUAUGUGUUUACAAGUUUCUUGUCUGUAUUCUCCGAGGAGGACAAAGCUGUUGAGUGGUACACACUGUAAAGUUCCCGAGCGCAGAGGAUGACGCGCUGGGAGGAGAGAGGAUGCGGGGGGGGGGGGGACCUCAUGGACAUGGUGGCUACCAACGGCGCUGCUGUUUGGGUAGCUGAAGGAUGGGAACGGCAUUGCGGAAAGAAACAGCACAGAUACCAAGGAACUUGCUCAAAGUUGUACUGGGGGGGGGGGGGCCAGAACCAGAAUUUGCACACAGAGCGAGUUCAAAGUCUACUGUCUGUUGACCUGAAACAAAAAGACUGCCAGAUCUAUUUCUCCAGCAAAGGUGGGUUUAUCUGAGAUCAGCAGAGGAUGGCAAUUUGGGGUCCGCAACCAUGGUGAGCUACGGGGCAAGUCCCUGCACAGCAAGGGAAUGAAAAUGCUUUUAUCAAGAGGAAGAGGGAGCUGGGAGGGCUAAAGUAAACAGAGUCCACGGCUUUUCAUUGGCUGAGCCCUGGCCUGGGAAGAAGCGGAGUCUUCCUUCUUCCUGUUGGGUUCUGCUGUUCUCACAGGAUGUGAGAGCUCCCCCUCUGGGCUCCCGACUCUUUUUCAUUGAGGUUUCUGUUUAUUAAUUUUUGACAAGUCUUAAUUAUUCACUAUAUUGUCUCGUUCCAAGAUAUUUACUGUGGUAAUGUUUAUAACAGCAGAAAGGUACCUUUUGAUAUCUUUUCCUUGAAACUUUUUCUGUAAGAAAUAGCUUGCCCUUUUGAGAAUUCAUCUCACACAUCACCCCGUUAGCAUUAAAGGCACUGAGGAAUCUAAAAAAAUCCCUCUCAGGCACUUUGCCAGUCGGUAUUCUUCCUCAAAACCCAGAACCUUAGUCUAAUCAUGAGGAAACAUCAGACAAACCCAAAUUAAGGAACAUUCUACAAAAUAUCUGGACAGCACUCUUCAGAACUGUCAAGGUCGUGAUAAACAAGGAGAGACUGAGAAACUGUCAAAGACUGGAGAGACUAUGGGGACGCGAAGACUAAGUGCCAGGUGGGAUCCUGGGCUGGAUCCUGGAACUGAAGAAGGACAUUAAUGGACAAACUGAUGAAAUCCAAAUAUGGCUGGAGUCUAAUCGGCGGUACUGACCAAUGUUAAUUCCUUAGCUUUGACAAACCUACCACGAUCAUGAAAGAUGCUAAUAUUAGUGGAAACCACAUGGAGGAAAUAUAGGAAUUCUGUAUUGCAACUUGUCUUUAAAACUAGAAUUAUUACAAAAUAUAAAAGUUUAUUUAAAAAGGAAAUGUGUUUUUAAAAUAAAGAUAAAUA